AUAUAGCUUAAACAAAGCCUCUCGCUUACACCGAGAAAAUGUCUGUGAAAAUCAGACUAUCUUGAACCAAUAACUAAGCCUAAUCUCAACUAAUGUAACACAACCACAAUAAACCCUAGAUAAAACAUUUUAAUAAUUUAGUAAAGGUGAUUGAAAGAUUUAUUAGCGCUUUACUAUAAGUACCGCAAGGGAAAAAUGAAAUAGCUUUGAAAUAGGCCUUAAGUAAAACAUAGCAGAGAUUAUCUCUCGUACCUUUUGCAUCAUGGUUUAGCUAGUCCUCUUCAAGCAAAAUGAAACAUCAGUUUGACACCCCGAAACUAAGUGAGCUACUUUUAAACAGCUCAAUGGAGCCAACCCGUCUCUGUUGCAAAAGAGUGGGAUGAUUUAUAAGUAGAGGCGAAAAACCUAUCGAACUUAGAGAUAGCUGGUUACUCAGGAAAAGAAUUUUAGUUCCACCUUAAGUUUUUACAUUACCCAUAAAAUCCCCAUAAACUUAAGAGCUAUUCAAAUAAGGCACAGCUUAUUUGAAAAAGGAUACAACCUAUAAGAAAGGGUAAAAAUUUCUUUAAAAGAACUAAGUGGGCCUGAAAGCAGCCACCUUUAAGAAAGCGUUAAAGCCCUUUUCUUUUUUUUAAUAAUACCUCUAAAUUUAUUAAACCCUUUACUACUACUGAGUGAUUCUAUAACCUAUAGAAGCCCUUAUACUAAAACUAGUAACAAGAAAUCGUAUUUCUCCAAAAUAUAAGUAUAAGCCAGAAUGGACCAACCACCGGCAAUUAACGUUGAUAAGACCACUGUAAUAACACAUCAAGAAAAUUCUACAGACAUAAACGUUAAUCUUACACAAGAAUAUUCCAGGAAAGAUAAAAGAAAGGAAG
Molecule: unclassified non-coding RNA, 878 nt
Filed under: Limnonectes cf. kuhlii 'lineage 18'
Lineage: Eukaryota; Metazoa; Chordata; Amphibia; Anura; Dicroglossidae
Description: partial contains 12S ribosomal RNA, tRNA-Val, and 16S ribosomal RNA; may also contain tRNA-Phe
Rfam family: Bacterial large subunit ribosomal RNA (bases 232-878)
Source: RNAcentral